RNAcentral lists this unclassified non-coding RNA (286 nucleotides) under Hevea brasiliensis (rubber tree). Lineage: Eukaryota; Viridiplantae; Streptophyta; Magnoliopsida; Malpighiales; Euphorbiaceae. The record is from RNAcentral.
AUGAAUAUCAGUCCUCAUGAAAUUAAUUUCAUUACAUUCCAGCUAGAAAGCUUAAAAUUAAGAAAGCCAGAGACUUGUUUUUGGCUCAUUAGAAAAUCUUCUUGAAUGAUGAAUAUUUGUGCUCAUAGAUUAAUUUCAUUAUUAUGGGCCAUGCAAGAGUCAAAAUCCAAAUCACAUGAUUUGCUGCUAUGCUGUCAAGAAAUGAUAAAUCAUGUCAUGCAAGAACAAGCAAUAAGAGAUCCCAAUAUAUUUUCUCCCUUACCUUGUCUUCAAAUUGAUCCAUAAA